CCUACGGGUGGCUGCAGUGAGGAAUAUUGGUCAAUGGACGGAAGUCUGAACCAGCCAUGCCGCGUGCAGGAAGACGGCUCUAUGAGUUGUAAACUGCUUUUAUAAGCGAGAAAUAUGAUGGUAACUUAUGAAUAAGGAUCGGCUAACUACGUGCCAGCAGCCGCGGUCAUACGUAGGAUCCGAGCAUUAUCCGGAGUGACUGGGUGUAAAGAGUUGCGUAGGUGGCAUAAUAAGUAGCUAGUGAAAUCUGGUGGCUCAACCAUUCAGACUAUUAGCUAAACUGUUAAGCUCGAGACCGUUAGGGGUAACUGGAAUUUCUAGUGUAGGAGUGAAAUCCGUAGAUAUUAGAAGGAACACCAAUAGCGUAGGCAGGUUACUGGGACGGUUCUGACACUAAGGCACGAAAGCGUAGGGAGCAAACGGGAUUAGAUACCCCAGUAGUC
RNAcentral lists this ribosomal RNA (443 nucleotides) under uncultured bacterium. Its description in RNAcentral is "partial 16S ribosomal RNA". It matches the Rfam family "Bacterial small subunit ribosomal RNA", at positions 338 to 795 of the family's 1533-position model. The record is from RNAcentral.